Non-coding RNA from Pogona vitticeps (central bearded dragon), 294 nucleotides. Lineage: Eukaryota; Metazoa; Chordata; Lepidosauria; Squamata; Agamidae. The record is from RefSeq and is a predicted model, not a curated record.
AAAAUCAUCUGGUCCUUAACAGGUUUGAAAAUUAGAGCUCUUAACAAUGGGUCAAAGACCCAGGAGAUCCUUAAAGUGCUGUUGACCUUCAGGGACAUGGGUCUGAAGCUCCUAUAUGGAAUGAAGGAGACUAAGGAGUGCUCUGUCAUGAAAAGGUUAUAGGUGAGGUGUUCAUAUGCUACUUUCCAUCAUUAACUCUUGAUCACAAAGCACUUGUACAUGGAAAAAAAUCAGAAAAAAAGAUGUUUGCCUUUUAUUACCCCAUUUUGAGGCUCUUUUCACAUUUAAAAAAAA